This 78-nucleotide transfer RNA is filed under the name Zestosphaera tikiterensis. RNAcentral's name for it is "tRNA-Val". It matches the Rfam family "tRNA". Rfam says of the family: Transfer RNA (tRNA) molecules are approximately 80 nucleotides in length. RNAcentral also lists the same sequence under 3 other names. The record is from RNAcentral. Lineage: Archaea; Thermoproteati; Thermoproteota; Thermoprotei; Desulfurococcales; Desulfurococcaceae.
GGGCCCGUCGUCUAGCCUGGUUAGGACGCCGCCCUUACGAGGCGGAGGUCCGGGGUUCGAGUCCCCGCGGGCCCACCA